AGAACGAACGCUGGCGGCAUGCCUAACACAUGCAAGUCGAACGAGAUCUUCGGAUCUAGUGGCGCACGGGUGCGUAACGCGUGGGAAUCUGCCCUUGGGUACGGAAUAACAGUGAGAAAUUACUGCUAAUACCGUAUGAUGACGUAAGUCCAAAGAUUUAUCGCCCAGGGAUGAGCCCGCGUAGGAUUAGCUUGUUGGUGAGGUAAAGGCUCACCAAGGCGACGAUCCUUAGCUGGUCUGAGAGGAUGAUCAGCCACACUGGGACUGAGACACGGCCCAGACUCCUACGGGAGGCAGCAGUGGGGAAUAUUGGACAAUGGGCGAAAGCCUGAUCCAGCAAUGCCGCGUGAGUGAUGAAGGCCUUAGGGUUGUAAAGCUCUUUUUACCCGGGAAGAUAAUGACUGUACCGGGAGAAUAAGCCCCGGCUAACUCCGCGCCAGCAGCCGC
This 447-nucleotide ribosomal RNA is filed under the name uncultured bacterium. RNAcentral's name for it is "SSU rRNA". It matches the Rfam family "Bacterial small subunit ribosomal RNA", at positions 26 to 518 of the family's 1533-position model. The record is from RNAcentral.